GUUGCUGUGGCAGCGCAGGACGCGGCUAGAGCUGGGGCUGCCGCGCCCUCCACCUCCUUCUCCAAAGGCCUCCCCGGACCCCUGGCUCGGGCCCAGCCUGCGACUCCGCCAUGCCCUGGAGGAGGCGCAGGAACCGGGUGAUUCUAAGUAUGACUUGCUAUGUAAAGAAGAAUUUAUUGAACUCAAAGACAUAUUCUCUGUGAAACUGAAACGGCGUUGUUCUGUUAAACAGCAGAGAAGUGGUACUUUAUUAGGUAUCACACUCUUCAUCUGCUUGAAAAAGGAACAAAAUAAACUAAAGAAUUCUACACUUGAUCUUAUUAAUUUAAGUGAAGACCACUGUGACAUAUGGUUUAGACAGUUCAAGAAAAUAUUGGCAGGCUUUCCAAACAGACCGAAGUCAUUAAAAAUACUCCUUAACCCCCAAAGUCACAAAAAAGAAGCUACCCAGGUUUAUUAUGAGAAGGUUGAACCUCUGUUGAAGCUUGCAGGAAUAAAAACUGAUGUAACAAUAAUGGAAUAUGAAGGGCACGCUCUGUCACUGCUUAAGGAAUGUGAACUCCAGGGAUUUG
Molecule: small RNA, 572 nt
Filed under: Pan troglodytes (chimpanzee)
Lineage: Eukaryota; Metazoa; Chordata; Mammalia; Primates; Hominidae
Description: processed transcript
Source: RNAcentral